Molecule: ribosomal RNA, 484 nt
Filed under: uncultured bacterium
Lineage: Bacteria
Description: partial 16S ribosomal RNA
Rfam family: Bacterial small subunit ribosomal RNA
Source: RNAcentral
AUUGAACGCUGGCGGCAGGCCUAACACAUGCAAGUCGAGCGGAUGAAGGGAGCUUGCUCCUGGAUUCAGCGGCGGACGGGUGAGUAAUGCCUAGGAAUCUGCCUGGUCGUGGGGGAUAACGUCCGGAAACGGGCGCUAAUACCGCAUACGUCCAGAGGGAGAAAGUGGGGGAUCUUCGGACCUCACGCUAUCAGAUGAGCCUAGGUCGGAUUAGCUAGUUGGAGGGGUAAAGGCCUACCAAGGCGACGAUCCGUAACUGGUCUGAGAGGAUGAUCAGUCACACUGGAACUGAGACACGGUCCAGACUCCUACGGGAGGCAGCAGUGGGGAAUAUUGGACAAUGGGCGAAAGCCUGAUCCAGCCAUGCCGCGUGUGUGAAGAAGGUCUUCGGAUUGUAAAGCACUGUAAGUUGGGAGGAAGGGCAGUAAGUUAAUACCUUGCUGUUUUGACGUUACCAACAGAAUAAGCACCGGCUAACUUCGUG